GCAAGGUUGAAACUCAAAGGAAUUGACGGGGGCCCGCACAAGCGGUGGAGCAUGUGGUUUAAUUCGACGCAACGCGAAGAACCUUACCCAGGUUGGACAUGCUCGUGGUAUGAACCUGAAAGGGUGAGGACUCUGAAAGGAGAGCGAGCUCAGGUGCUGCAUGGCUGUCGUCAGCUCGUGCCGUGAGGUGUUGGGUUAAGUCCCGCAACGAGCGUAACCCCUGUCUUCAGUUGCCAUCGGGUCAAGCCGAGCACUCUGGAGAGACUGCCCAGGAUAACGGGGAGGAAGGUGGGGAUGACGUCAAGUCAGCAUGGCCUUUAUGCCUGGGGCUACACACGUGCUACAAUGACCGGUACAAAGGGUUGCAAUCCCGUAAGGGGGAGCCAAUCCCAAAAAACCGGCCUCAGUUCAGAUUGAGGUCUGCAACUCGACCUCAUGAAGUUGGAAUCGCUAGUAAUCGCGGAUCAGCACGCCGCGGUGAAUACGUUCCCGGGCCUUGUACACACCGCCCGUCACACCACGAAAGUUAGCUGUACCAGAAGUCACUGGCGCCAACCCGUAAGGGAGGCAGGUGCCCAAGGUAUGGUUGGUAAUUGGGGUGAAGUCGUAACAAGGUA
Molecule: ribosomal RNA, 617 nt
Filed under: uncultured bacterium
Lineage: Bacteria
Description: bacterial SSU rRNA
Rfam family: Bacterial small subunit ribosomal RNA
Source: RNAcentral